UACGUAGGUCCCGAGCGUUGUCCGGAUUUAUUGGGCGUAAAGCGAGCGCAGGUGGUUUCUUAAGUCUGGUGUAAAAGGCUACUGCUCAACAGUAGUAUGCAUUGGAAACUGGGAGACUUGAGUGCAGGAGAGGAGAGUGGAAUUCCAUGUGUAGCGGUGAAAUGCGUAGAUAUAUGGAGGAACACCGGAGGCGAAAGCGGCUCUCUGGCCUGUAACUGACACUGAGGCGCGAAAGCGUGGGGAGCAAACAGG
Molecule: ribosomal RNA, 252 nt
Filed under: uncultured bacterium
Lineage: Bacteria
Description: partial 16S ribosomal RNA
Rfam family: Bacterial small subunit ribosomal RNA
Source: RNAcentral